GUUCCUUUCAAAUAUGGGCUUUCCUUGACAUGGAAGCAAUGCAGAGGAGGACACGAAAGGCCUGGCCAACUUUAGCCAGUCUUUGCUAGCCUGAUGCCCUCCAGAUUGUUUCGGAGUACAACUCCCACCAGCCCCUUCCUGCACAGAUAUCGGGAAAAGUUUUCAGAGAAGGGAAACCAAAAUGAUCCAAGGGGAUGCGGCAACUGCCCUAGGAGGAAAGGGUAGGACAUAAUGGAGCUUUUUAGUUUGGAGAAGAGGUGAGUAAGCAGAGACUUGAUAGAGUUGUGUGAGGUUAUGAAUGGUGUGGUAAAGCGGAUAGAGAAAAAGUUUCUCUCUCCCUCUCCCUCAUAAUACUAAAAAUACUAGAAUGCUAGAUAUUCAAGAAAGCUGAAUUUUGGAAGAUUCGGGACGAAAGAAAGAAAGAAAGAAAGAAAGAAAGAAAGAAAGAAAGAAAGAAAGAAUUGUGGAUGGGGAGAAUGUUGCUGCACUCAUGCCCUGCUUGUAGGCUUCCUCUAGCCUAGACCAUUUUUAAAACAGAGUGGUAGUUUAGAUGGGCCUUUGGCCUGAUCCAGUACAGUGGUACAUCAGGUUACAGAUGCUUCAGGUUACAGACUCCGCUAACCCAGAAAUAGUACCUCAGGUUAAGAACAGAAUCGCACAACGGCAGCGGGAGGUCCCAUUAGCUAUAGUGGUACCUCAGGUUAAGAACAGUUUCAGGUUAAGAAUGGACCUCCAGAACGAAUUACCGGUAAGUUCUUAACCUGAGGUACCACUGUACACUCUUCUUAUGUUCUUCAAUAAGACUUAAGCCUAGUUUUAACAACAUACAUGUAAUUGAUAUAUUUGUAAAAUAUAUUACUGGAUAAAUGUAUUUUGUUCUUUGGGAAGAACUCAUUAUGAUGAGUUAUAAACGCACUUGCAUUUCAUAUUUGAGAUGCUUCUCAGUUAAGGUAUUUGCAAAUGAACUCAAGCAUUCAGAUUUUGCCCACUCUAUAUAUUCCUGUAGAAUAAUGUUGCUAUAGUGAUUAAUCUUCCCAGCAUAAAUGAAUAAGACAUCUUCUCAACUGCACUGACACUGUAUAGUUGCUUGCCUCUCACUACCUUGAAUGCCCAUUGUAGAAAUUCUUCUGCUUUCGCUUAAAAAGCCUUUUACUUCAUGACUUCAAGGAUUUUCAUACUGAAAGUCAUCUGAACUCAGUAACACCAGGCACUGAAAGCAAAGACUUUACAUUAUGUGUUGUAGAUCGCCACCUGCUGGCAUGAUGUCUACAUUGCUACUAAUAUUGAGUUUUGCUUGGCAAUAAUCUUUUUUAUUUUUUUAUUUUUUUGGCAGGGGGAUAUACAGUCAGCUUCUCAUCUAUGCUCAGUUUUGUGAAGUGGAAUUGUAUUUGAAAGUUUCUGAUACAUCUGCAGUGGCUUUUAGUUGGGGAGACAAGGGGA
Molecule: non-coding RNA, 1440 nt
Organism: Podarcis lilfordi (Lilford's wall lizard)
Lineage: Eukaryota; Metazoa; Chordata; Lepidosauria; Squamata; Lacertidae
Source: the annotation of a GenBank genome assembly